This 545-nucleotide unclassified non-coding RNA is filed under the name Hevea brasiliensis (rubber tree). Lineage: Eukaryota; Viridiplantae; Streptophyta; Magnoliopsida; Malpighiales; Euphorbiaceae. The record is from RNAcentral.
CUUAGUGGAAUUAAUGGUGUUCUAUUCUAUUCCAGCACCAUUUUUGAAUCUGCUGGCAUUAGCGAUAGUAAUGCAGCUACCUUUGGGCUUGGUGCCGUUCAGGUUAUUGCUACCGGUGUCACUACAUGGUUAGCUGAUAAGGCAGGCCGCAGGCUUCUACUUAUUGUUUCCUCUUCUGGGAUGACUGUCAGCCUCCUACUGGUUGCAGUAUCGUUUUUUGUACAGGAUUAUGUAUCAGAUGAAUCUACUGUAUAUAACAUUUUGGGGAUCUUAUCAAUAGUUGGAGUAGUGGGGAUGGUAGUUGCCUUCUCUUUGGGUAUUGGACCCAUUCCUUGGAUUAUAAUGUCUGAGAUUCUUCCAAUCAAUAUUAAGGGCCUUGCUGGAAGCGUGGCGACACUUGCCAAUUGGUUCUCUUCAUUUGGGGUUACAAUGACUGCAAACUUGCUUUUGAAUUGGAGCAGUGGAGGAACGUUUACCAUUUACAUGAUCGUCAGUGCAUUCACUAUUGCAUUCACAACUAUUUGGGUUCCUGAGACAAAAGGGAG